UCAAAGUUCUUCCCCUACUUCUUCUCUAACGGCUAUCUUUCUCUCUCUGCUUUCUCGUCCUCUCCCCUUCUCUCAUCUUCUUCGUCUUCCUCAAAAUCGCCGAUUCACGGCCAUCUUCUUCUCCUACCCCUAACAGCGCCGGAUUUCUCAACUGUCGAUCGAGUGACAAUCAUGCCUGCCUGCUUGACAAAGCCUUUUCGGUCUACCAAUAAAGGAAAAACGAUUGCUGGUGACACGAAAGCUGUGCUCAACGCUCUUUUUCCUAUUCCACUGCACGUCGUGGUCUUUCCCUUGCUGGUUGGAUGACUACUAUGGACGAAGAGCACAACUACUUCCAGUCUCUGGUCGAUAAGUACCCAAGGAAGAGUUGCAGUGGGUAAAUCUUAAUGGCUGGCAGAAAAUUGGUUCGGGAUAUAUUACUCUCAAGACAAAGUAUUUUCUAUCAGUUUACUUCCCAUGGGCAUAAAUGAAACUGUGUUUCAAGAACAAGGUGCUGCUACAUCAUUCAAGGAAAUUCGUCGUAGAGGUCUUUCUCUUUACCAGAUUUCGUAGCUGAAGUUUAUGAAGUAAUCAAACCGGUGUUAACUUCUUAUAUAAAGGUAGAUUCCCAAACUUUGAAGAAACACUACAGUACUGAGGUAAUUGAAUGUUGUAAGGCAGAGCAUCGGGCUUACUAGAGCCAAGGUAUCUUCUUCGAUAACAAGGAAUAAAGGAAAAUGAAAUAUAACCAAACUUGGGAUCUUUGCAAGCAAGCUUCCA
This is a long non-coding RNA of Cucumis sativus (cucumber), 759 nucleotides long. RefSeq lists it as uncharacterized. Lineage: Eukaryota; Viridiplantae; Streptophyta; Magnoliopsida; Cucurbitales; Cucurbitaceae. The transcript is spliced from 6 exons. The record is from RefSeq and is a predicted model, not a curated record.